Long non-coding RNA from Triticum aestivum (bread wheat), 826 nucleotides. RefSeq lists it as uncharacterized. Lineage: Eukaryota; Viridiplantae; Streptophyta; Magnoliopsida; Poales; Poaceae. The record is from RefSeq and is a predicted model, not a curated record. The transcript has 2 exons.
GGAGACUGGUAGGGGAGGUGCCAUAUUCCACACCAUCUCCACCAGACCGUCCAUCCACCGCCGCCACGACGGUUCCCCAUCGCCGAAGGCCAGCAAAACAGGUCACUAUAUCCCUGCGGUCGUGAACUAGCUCCGGUGGCUUUGUACGAGGAGAAGAGGUCGUCCCGCCGGCGUGAUCCAAUUCAACGGAAGCGACGCCGCCGCCUCGUCCAAGCGCGACCUCAGCUCCACGCCGGCGCUUGGUCGCUUCCCCGCGCUCUGCAAGCUCGGGGACUGUUUCUCUCCUGUCCCAUCCUCACCUCCCCGAUUGGAAGGAUCUAGAGAUUUCACCAGCCGCCCUUGAGUCAUUACAAUCUACGUAGGUAUCAUCGACCUCCUCUUCAAGUUUGGUCUCUCCUCCUACUUCAUGAGCUCAUGUAAUGAUGUAAAUGGGGAUUCCUACCUAUUUUUUGAUAGACUGGAGGAUGUUUGUGUCAUCAAGAGUGCAUCCGAAUUUGUUUGCAUGAGUUUGACAUCAAAACGGGGAUGAAUACGAUUUUCUGUUUAGCACAACCACAACCACGUGCAUCUGCUCGACCUGUUGAUGCUUGCCACAAAUUCAAAAGCCUGACUGAAGCUGCCAAAGCAAGAAGAAGAUAGAAGAAUUCUGAAUUUUUAUGCCAUGAACGGAACAUCUCAUUCAGCUGGACUCUAGUUAUUCAGUUCACAAAAGAUAGAUCUGAAUGCAAGCGAAAUUUGUAACAUGAAGGCAAAGAUUUCACCGCCAAUUCAUUUUCAUGAUGUAUAGCGAAUACUUGAUUGAGGUGUAAUGCAUUUACCUUCUGAA